This is a non-coding RNA of Trichonephila inaurata madagascariensis, 73 nucleotides long. The record is from the annotation of a GenBank genome assembly. NCBI's taxonomy places the organism in Eukaryota, Metazoa, Arthropoda, Arachnida, Araneae, Nephilidae.
GUCCCUGCAGCGCAAUAGAUAGUGCGUUGGACAUUUUAUCCAAAGGGCGUGGAUUCGAAUUCCACUUGGGAAG